This 251-nucleotide ribosomal RNA is filed under the name uncultured bacterium. Its description in RNAcentral is "partial 16S ribosomal RNA". It matches the Rfam family "Bacterial small subunit ribosomal RNA", at positions 336 to 584 of the family's 1533-position model. The record is from RNAcentral.
UUCCUACGGGGCGCAGCAGUGAGGAAUAUUGGUCAAUGGUCGGGAGACUGAACCAGCCAAGCCGCGUGAGGGAUGAAGGUACAGAGUAUCGUAAACCUCUUUUGUCAGGGAACAAAGGCGGGGACGCGUCCCCGGAUGAGUGUACCUGAAGAAAAAGCAUCGGCUAACUCCGCGCCAGCAGCCGCGGGAAUACGUAGGUGGCAAGCGUUAUCCGGAUUUAUUGGGCGUAAAGGGAACGCAGGCGGUCUUUU